Molecule: long non-coding RNA, 441 nt
Filed under: Helicoverpa zea (corn earworm)
Lineage: Eukaryota; Metazoa; Arthropoda; Insecta; Lepidoptera; Noctuidae
Description: uncharacterized LOC124630768, transcript variant X2
Source: RNAcentral
CAAGCCGACCAAAUGGAACUGAGAUAAGAUAAACAUUGCUUUUUCCGACCCAAACCCUAUGUUUUAUAAAUAAGGAAGAUGAGAGAUUGACAAGAACAGCAAGAUUGACGCCUUUAUAUAGAUUUUAAAUCGUCGAUGUAACUUAAUUGGUGUAUAGGAUAGCGGGAACUACUGUGGGACGCGUGGGAGGCUCAUACCACAAUAUAAAUGGAACAUAAAUCUACAGUUACUUGGAACAUCAAUAGCUGGUUCAUUAAAAAGGAGGAACUAUAAGAAAGGAGAUCGAGUGGAGUCCGGCCACACUCGGCGCGAGGUGCCGAGGUGUCGCAACCCCGGCGUCUGCUGCUCAACUAUUCGAACCAGCUGACGCGACAUGGCGCCCGCGUCGGCAAACCUUUCAUGCUGCACUAUCGACUGCGCCGAUGAAUGAGGUUGCAUAUU